Molecule: ribosomal RNA, 760 nt
Filed under: Flavobacterium suncheonense
Lineage: Bacteria; Pseudomonadati; Bacteroidota; Flavobacteriia; Flavobacteriales; Flavobacteriaceae
Description: bacterial SSU rRNA
Rfam family: Bacterial small subunit ribosomal RNA
Source: RNAcentral
GGGUAGAGGAAGCUUGCUUCCUUGAGACCGGCGCACGGGUGCGUAACGCGUAUGCAAUCUGCCUUGUACUGAGGGAUAGCCCAGAGAAAUUUGGAUUAAUACCUCAUAGCAUUAUGAAAUCGCAUGGUUUUAUAAUUAAAGUUCCAACGGUACAAGAUGAGCAUGCGUCCCAUUAGUUAGUUGGUAAGGUAACGGCUUACCAAGACGAUGAUGGGUAGGGGUCCUGAGAGGGAGAUCCCCCACACUGGUACUGAGACACGGACCAGACUCCUACGGGAGGCAGCAGUGAGGAAUAUUGGUCAAUGGACGCAAGUCUGAACCAGCCAUGCCGCGUGCAGGAUGAAGCAUCUAUGGUGUGUAAACUGCUUUUGUACGGGAAGAAACAUUCCUACGUGUAGGAACUUGACGGUACCGUAAGAAUAAGGAUCGGCUAACUCCGUGCCAGCAGCCGCGGUAAUACGGAGGAUCCAAGCGUUAUCCGGAAUCAUUGGGUUUAAAGGGUCCGUAGGCGGCUUUAUAAGUCAGUGGUGAAAGCCCAUCGCUUAACGAUGGAACGGCCAUUGAUACUGUAGAGCUUGAAUUACUUGGAAGUAACUAGAAUAUGUAGUGUAGCGGUGAAAUGCUUAGAUAUUACAUGGAAUACCAAUUGCGAAGGCAGGUUACUACAAGUGGAUUGACGCUGAUGGACGAAAGCGUGGGGAGCGAACAGGAUUAGAUACCCUGGUAGUCCACGCCGUAAACGAUGGAUACUAGCUGUUCG